RNAcentral lists this long non-coding RNA (6226 nucleotides) under Sus scrofa (pig). RNAcentral describes it as "lncRNA (ENSSSCG00000059674.1)". The record is from RNAcentral. Lineage: Eukaryota; Metazoa; Chordata; Mammalia; Artiodactyla; Suidae.
UCACUCUGCUGAGAGGAACAUCUGAGUUUCUUCCUCUCUGUGUGUGUCUCUCUCCUCUCUCUCCUCCCUUCCUCCCUCCCUCCUUCUCUUUCUUUUCUCUGAGGAACAGUGUUAGUAUUCCGUGGUACACACUUAAGCAAAACCUGAGAAAGGAAUUAAUCUGUCACUAGGAAUGAAUGCACUGGACAGUGAUUUAUGCAGAUGCUCUACUCAAAGUGAUGGCGCUCAUUUCAUCUGUACUUCUCACAGCCCUUCUUAGAGGCAGCACACAAAAUCGCAUUUAAAAUAACGUUGCAGCUGGGUGACUGGGCAGGGUGCAAAGCCCUGCUGCCCUGCAAGAGCCCCCAGACAAACCCAGCAGAAGGGCAGGCAGGCAGCUUAGGCAGCAGGAUAGGGUACUGGAAUUUCCAAAUCCAUGACCUCUGUACUCUUUAGCUCUGACGAAGAAGCUGAUCCAAGGAUUCUCUGUGAGCACAAGUUCCAUUCCCCUUUCUCCUCUGAAGCCUAGACUGAGAAAUACUCCCAGUGUUCCACUGGCCUUUGCGUCUCUUCCACAGCCCUCAGCGCUUUGAGAUUCUGGUCAUAACCAGGGAAAGAUUCAUUAGGGCUGGCAUUUCUACUUGCUGGCUGGCUAGCUCCUACACUGUUUUCUGGCAGCAAGGCUGAGAGGCUCCCUCGAGGGCUUAUUUUCCUGAAAUUCCCCCUGUAGUUUUACAUGCAUAAGUGGGCUGGAUGAGGUUGUGAGAAACAGCCUAGCUUUUGAACGCUAAUCUGAAUCAAAAUUCCAAAUCUCUUGAAGUUCAAGCUAUCAGUAGAAGAAAUCCGAAGUAAACAAGCCUCUCACCACCUCCCCACCCAAUCUAGCCACCUCCUGGCUCAGGCCAGCCUCCUCCUCAGAGCCUAGAAGGCUCUUGUGUUCCACUCUUAGACUUGUAGGCAGCAGGCAAGACUUGGGGCCCUAUUUUCCUGGGCAUGCAGGUUACUGCAACGCUUCUUUUGCUAUUGUGCUUCUGAUUACUAGUAUUUUUCCCACUCCCUCUUGCUGUCUGGAGAUUCAUCUGGGAUUUAUCUCCAUAAUGAGAAAAGGGAGAUAGAAAACACUGGGGCAUUUUUCUCUGACUUAGAUUAUUUGUCAUUUUGAAAUUCAUUUUAAAGGAUGCUUUUCAAAUAUUUAAAUGUAUGUGUGCUCACAUCACAGUUCCUCAGGAUGAAUUGCAGAUGACACAAUCACUACUUUAUCUCUUGCAUGCUCUAGGCCUCUCUCCUGAACUGGUUGCCAGCAAUGACUUGACCAGAAGAAAAAAAAAAAAAAAAGCAAAGAACGAUAGGCUAGAAAGAGUAGGAAUUCAGAUCUCAAAUAGUAGUUUUCUUCUUUUUUGUUCAGAGAUCCUAACCUGGUUUCUAUAUCAUCUCUAGGAUGCCUUUAACGUACUGUGGUUGACAGGUAACACAACUUAAACUUUAUUAAUCUAAGUAUGUGAUGUUUCCCUCUCCCCAUAGAGACAUGCACUUCACAGAAUAGAAACAGCUAAUUAAGAUCCUCUUUCCACUUUUCCAAGUUCUGGCUCAAGAUACUAGAGGUAGGAAAGAGAAUAAGCCCCAUCUAUAAACCAACUCCCACUUUAUUGAUAGUGGAUGAAGGAGAGCAUGUGUAAGUUUAACUAGGCAGGCAGUGAACAGAAUUGGAAACACAGAAUGUUAAAAGAUCCAAGACCAAUUAUUCCAAGUUUGGUGCUUCUGUGUAGAAGAGCCUAAGAGAAGAUUAAGAACCCAUAUUACUAAAGCACAUAGUCUGAUUCAGGAGCAAAUGAGCACGAGAAUCUUAAAAAGGCAGUUUCAUAAAAAGGCAUAUCUUUUUUCUUCAGCAAAUAUUUAUUGAGUGCCUGUGUGCCUGCAGCUGCACUGGGUAUUGUAUUUAAGAUGGAUAAUAAAUAUAAGAUUCCUGGGGGAGUUUCUGUUGUGGCACAACAGGUUAAGGCUGUGGCAUUGUCUCUUCAGUGGCUUGAGUUUGAUCUCCAGCCCAGCACAUUGGGUUAAGGAUCCAGCAUUGCCACAGCUGUGGUGUAGUUUUCAACUGCAUCUUGGAUUUGAUCCCUGGCCUGGGAACUUCCAUAUGUUGUGGGUGUGGCCAAAAAAUAAUAAGACUCAUGGUUAAACAGGAUUUAACUGGAGCGGGAUUAAAGAGAUAUAAAAGGAGGGGGUAGCAAAUCAUAAAAAGCAGUAGCCAAAGAUAUGUGGGUCAGGGAUUUAGAGAGCCAGAUCCUGGUCUCUACUGGAGAUGGAACCAGAUAGAGCAGGGUGAACAGUGUCAGCUACUUUAAAACUCUAAGACAAAGGAGACAAAGAUGCACUCUCUCUCACCACUCCAUGGUGGCUCCAGAAAGGGCAACCUUGAUUAAUCCUGUGUCAUGGCAUUAAAAGGGGUCAUUUUAGGGCAAGAUAAUGGAGGUCCUGUGACCUGCAUUAUUAGACAGAAAAUUACAGAUUUGAGAAGAAAAUUACAGAUUUCUCCCAUACAAAUGACAUAUUUCCCAGAGCAGCCUAACUUCCUGGAAAUCAUAGACAUACCAAAAUCAUAGAAAUUCUGUAGAAACACCAAUUCUCAUGUCAAUUAACUUCAGUAACUAUUCAUCUCAUGCUUAUUUGGUGCAAGGUGCUAUGCAGGAUACUGAAGCUUUAUGGUGGCUGUGGUGACUUUCGCAUACUCACCACACUAGCAGUUUUUCUUGACAACUCAUCCAGCUCUAUCUCAUCCUUAAUUCUCAUAUUUAUUCUAUUGAGAGCAAUGGGCCAUCAGGCCAUACUUGUCUUAUCAGCUGCAUGCCCAGUUCUAUGUGUGACUCUGAGCAAGCGACAAAAAUAGAGACAAUGCAGUUUCUCUACUCAAGGAGAUUACUUUGCAUCUCAGGAGACAAGAGAUAAUUACAUAAUAAAACUACAGAAUGAUCAAGAUAGUGUAUAACUUAGGUUCUGAACUGUGUGGUAUGGCCUUGCAUGAAUUGGGUUCUAAGAAAUGUAACAGUUUUUGAGAUAAGGGCAGUAAAAAUAGAGCCACAGAGAUGGAUGAUGAUGGAUGAUGAGGAAGAGGGCAUAUGCAAGGUAUCCUUAACUCUGCAUGGAAUAUUUUCUUUCACUUCUCCAUUGUUCUAAAUCUAGUUCAUUGGCUUUCCCUAAAAAUCUUAUUCAUUGUUUCUCUAUCAGAGUUUGAAUUUUUGAGGACAGUCUCUCUUCCAUCUUUAGUCACCUUUACAUCCCCUAUUACCUUUUGCACUGGACCUGAUGAGCAGCAGAUAUUCAGUGAAUACUUGGUGGCUGAAAGAUUAAUGGUAUUCUGUAUCCUUCAAAGCAGUCCAAGAAAGAGUGAUUUCCUAAUAAAUGUUCUCUGAAUUGAAUUGAUAAAUCACCUGAUCACCUCCCUGAACCAUGGUCUUGGUGACAGUGAAAGGCUGAGUCUGAUAGACAGCUUUAGGAACAGAAGAUGGUCCUCACAGAUCCAAGAAGGCAAGCUAAAGGUUAGGGAGGUUGGAAAGGCAAUGCACACUUUCAGCAAAGCAGUAGGGGUUGAGAAAGCAGCUGGUAUUUUGAGUGGAAGUGGUCUACUCUGGGUUCUUUGCUCUUAUGUGCUCAUGUUUUCAUUUUCACAGGGCUGGUUUAUGGUAACUGCACCAUCUAUCAGAUAAUGAUAGAUGUACUGCAUCAUCUAUCAGAUAUACAUAUAUGUAUAUAUAUGUACAACAUAUGUACAUUUGUUUGUAUACUACACACACACACACACACACACAUAGAUACACACACAGACACACACUCACUGUUUAUAUAACCCUCAAACAACACAGGUGAGGGAGGGCAGGCUUUAAAGUUAUAUGCAGAUUUUAGAUUGUGUGGAGGAUCACUGCCCCUAACUUCCACAUUGUUCAAAUGUCUAUAUAUAUAAAUGUCUAUAUAUAAAGAGAAUAUAUAUAUAUUCUCUUUAUGAUUUGCUAUACCCUUAUUUCAUAUCUCUUUACCCUCAUUGAGAGUUUAAUCAAGGAGUCUUAUCUUUAUUUUCUAUCUAUAUAUCUCAUUUAUUCUAGUUAUACUCUGACUUGUUUUAGGGAUGGCACUCUGGUUUCCUUAAAGAUUUUUACUCACUAGAAUUCCCAGAUUAAUAAUAGGGAGAUCUUUAUGCUUUUAAUAGUUAUUUGACUAUUUGAGAGUGAUAUCUAGACUUCCUUUAUACAACCACUUAUAAUACCCUCAGGUACACCAAAAAGAACCCUGUAUCUACAGUCUGUACUUUUCAUAUCCCUCCACUUCUUCCUUAAUCUUCACUAAGAUGGAAGACAAGCCCUGGGAGCACUCUCAUACCAGGGGCUUGACACAAGCUUCUUAGUUGUCCCUUACUGGAGCUGCUGAAGGGCGCAGGAGCUGAGUAUGCUCUCAGCGAUUCUCAAGGUGGGGUUGCUUUUAGCAUUUAUGGUUGGCGAGGACCACACCUCACAUUGCAGGGCAUAUGGCAUUCCUAGUUUCUAAAUACUGGCAGAAGUCUUAAGUUACCAUGAUGAUAAAAAAUGCUCCCAUAUAUUUCUAAACACUCUCAGAAAAAUGUACCGGUCUUUGUUUAAAAUGAUGGAAUGACUGAGGCUGUUGUUAGAAUGACUGUGCAAAGCCUCCUUUCUUUCCGGUUGCUAAUACUGGGUGGUAGAAUUCUCAUCCCUGAGAUGCCUCACGUGGUGACUUUGCGUCUACCGGUACAAAGAGGAAUGGAGCCUUUUUAAGCACACUGUAGACCUUCUGAGACAAUUCAGAGAGGCAGCGUGGGGAGCCAUGCCAACAGACACAGAUGGGGAGGAACACCAGCCUUGUCAUCUGAUUUACCACUUACACAUUGUCUUCAGUGUACCCUUUACUGUAUUCAAUCUGGUUGCCUAACCCCCCUAAACACAGUGUUUGUCUUUCUGCCACAUCUUUAUUAUCCUAGAUUUAUUCCAUUCCUGGCAAUGUUAAAACCUCUAAACUCCUAUGAGAAGUUGCAGAACCAAAGAGAUUUGUGCAAUCAACUGGCACAGUCUAGAAUGUUUCAAAAGGCUUGACAACAUUAGUAUUAUGGUUACCACUGGUAUUUAUUUUAUCCUGUGCCAGGAUGUACAUUAAAAUAUUUGUACCAGCUUGAUACUGUAGAAAGACUAAGACUUGGAAGACCUCAGUCUCCUGCUUCUAGGUUCUGGGUCCUGCCACCAACUAGCUGGGUAGCCUUGGACAAGUCAUUUCCCUUAUCUGGGCUUUACUUGCUACAUAGGAAAAAAUAUGGACUGGACUCUUGGAAAUUCAUAUAUAUAAAUUCUCUUAAUAUGAAUAAUAAAAAAACAUAGAGCACUUUGAUGGAUUAAAGUUAAACUUAAUGAAGUAGUCCAUGAAUCCCAAGCUGCAAACAUAAACUGCCCAUUUUUUUAUCCCCUCCUUCCUUACCUCCUCCAACCCCCAGCAUCAGAAUGAUGGACUGUGUUGACAGAAUCUAGAACUAAGUCUUAGAUGAAUGCAUGUGCAGAGAUUGCAGUUGUGGUUCUGUGCUACACAUUGAGGAUGGUCACCCUCCUAGUCCAGCCUGAUCAUUAACUAGCAAUGAGAUGACUAGAAAGGUCCUAUUUUGUGCAUUUGUUUAACCACUUUUUUUUUCUCUUUAGUGCCACACUCAUGGCAUUUGGAAGUUCCCAGGCAAGGAUUCAAAUUGGAGCUGCAGCUGCUGACCUACACCACAACCACAGAAACACAGGAUCUGAGCCAUGUCUAUGACCUACACCACAGCUCAUGGCAACAUUGGAACUUUAUCCCACUCAGUGGGGCCAAGGAUCAAACUCAUAUCCUCGUAGAUACUAGUUGGGUUUGUUACCGCUGAGCCACAAUGGGCACUCCUGUCUAACCACUUUUAUUGAGCCUAUUGUAUAUUAGGCACCAUGGAUUCAAAAUUGAUUAAGAAUAAAUUUUUGGAGUUUCCGUCAUGGCAUAGCAGAGGCAAGUCUGACUAGGAACCAUGACAUUGUGGGUUCGAUCCCUGGCCUCACUCAGUGGGUUAGGGAUCUGGUGUUGCCAUGAGCUGUGGUGUAGGUCGCAGAUGUGGCUCAGAUCUGUCAAUGCUGUGGCUGGGGCAUAGGCCAGCAGCUGUGGUGAUGCUAUGGCUGGGGCGUAGGCCAGCAGCUGUAGCUCUGAUUCAACCCCUAGCCUGGGAACCUCCAUAUGCCCCAGGUGC